GUGGGGAAUUUUGGACAAUGGGCGAAAGCCUGAUCCAGCCAUGCCGCGUGCAGGAUGAAGGCCUUCGGGUUGUAAACUGCUUUUGUACGGAACGAAAAGACUCCUUCUAAUAAAGGGGGUCCAUGACGGUACCGUAAGAAUAAGCACCGGCUAACUACGUGCCAGCAGCCGCGGUAAUACGUAGGGUGCAAGCGUUAAUCGGAAUUACUGGGCGUAAAGCGUGCGCAGGCGGUUAUAUAAGACAGAUGUGAAAUCCCCGGGCUCAACCUGGGAACUGGAUUUGUGACUGUAUAGCUAGAGUACGGUAGAGGGGGAUGGAAUUCCGCGUGUAGCAGUGAAAUGCGUAGAUAUGCGGAGGAACACCGAUGGCGAAGGCAAUCCCCUGGACCUGUACUGACGCUCAUGCACGAAAGCGUGGGGAGCAAACAGGAUUAGAUACCCCAGUAGUCC
Molecule: ribosomal RNA, 450 nt
Filed under: uncultured bacterium
Lineage: Bacteria
Description: partial 16S ribosomal RNA
Rfam family: Bacterial small subunit ribosomal RNA
Source: RNAcentral